RNAcentral lists this ribosomal RNA (121 nucleotides) under Petromyzon marinus (sea lamprey). The record is from RNAcentral. Lineage: Eukaryota; Metazoa; Chordata; Hyperoartia; Petromyzontiformes; Petromyzontidae.
GCCUACAACCAUAUCACCCUUAAUGCGCCUGAUCUCACCAGAUUUCAGAAGCUAAGCAAGGUUAAGCCUUUGGUGAGUACUUGCAUGUGAAGCCACCCAGGAAUUAAAGGCAUUCUAGGCU